GUUAGUCCCUGCGGGCGAAAUUCCUGAGUACCCGUCCUGAGGAGGCUGCCAUGCUGGCUCCUGAGAGCCACCCGGGCGUCUCUGUGACCUCAGGCCGGAGGUUCGCCCGAGACGUGGCGGAAAGCUGGCUUAGUGUUGAAACCGGGUAACUGUAAACAGACCACAUAAAUAGCCUUCUUUUACUGUGGUAGUUACCUCUGACCACCAUCCUUUGCCCUGAGGGCGGUGCUAAAAGACGUAAGCCACAACGUGGAGGGUGGUUAAGAAAACAGUUGCCCAAGCCGCCCAGUUUGCAGCUUGGAUUCUCAUCAGUCACAGCUUGCGUUUUAGGUACACUGAACUCUGUAAUGACCCAGUGCUUACGAUGACGAAACGAUGACUAGAAGUGAAGGUUAAAUUGUUCGUAAGACAUAACGAAGCUACUGUAGUGAGGACGUCUAUGCACAACUCUGGCAGCUUCCUAAAAGUUAGUCAAUCUUGAGCUUUUUCAAGCAUCAUUAUCUUCUUUUAAAGUACAGAGAGAAACUCCCCCUAAUGAGAAAGAUAAUGUGGCUUUGAAAUACUUACUGGAGCCUAACAUCCUUACACAAAAUGCUUUUGCUUUUACACAACAGCAACAUCCCUGCAGGAAAAAGGAUUGUUUACCACUCACCUGCGCCCAGAGCCCUACUCUCAGAAGAAUCACUGCUUUAAAACAAAAAUCUCCCUGUUCCCUAAGCAAUACAGA
This 727-nucleotide long non-coding RNA is filed under the name Homo sapiens (human). RNAcentral's name for it is "non-protein coding lnc-ANKRD13C-4:1". Lineage: Eukaryota; Metazoa; Chordata; Mammalia; Primates; Hominidae. The record is from RNAcentral.